CCUACGGGAGGCAGCAGUGGGGAAUAUUGCACAAUGGGGGAAACCCUGAUGCAGCGACGCCGCGUGAGUGAAGAAGUAUUUCGGUAUGUAAAGCUUUAUCAGCAGGGAAGAAAAUGACGGUACCUGAUUAAGAAGCCCCGGCUAACUACGUGCCAGCAGCCGCGGUAAUACGUAGGGGGCAAGCGUUAUCCGGAUUUACUGGGUGUAAAGGGGGCGUAGACGGCAGCACAAGUCUGGAGGGAAAUGCCGGGGCUUAACCCCGGAACUGCUUUGGAAACUGUGCAGCUAGAGUGCAGGAGAGGUAAGUGGAAUGCCUAGUGUAGCGGUGAAAUGCGUAGAUAUUAGGAGGAACACCAGUGGCGAAGGCGGCUUACUGGACUGUAACUGACGUUGAGGCUCGAAAGCGUGGGGAGCAAACAGGAUUAGAUACCCCAGUAGUC
RNAcentral lists this ribosomal RNA (440 nucleotides) under uncultured bacterium. Its description in RNAcentral is "partial 16S ribosomal RNA". It matches the Rfam family "Bacterial small subunit ribosomal RNA", at positions 338 to 795 of the family's 1533-position model. The record is from RNAcentral.